Molecule: long non-coding RNA, 310 nt
Organism: Toxorhynchites rutilus septentrionalis
Lineage: Eukaryota; Metazoa; Arthropoda; Insecta; Diptera; Culicidae
Exons: 3
Source: RefSeq, a predicted model, not a curated record
CAAUAGAGUUGAACAAUAUUAACCAUAUGAAUAAGAGUUUUUGAGGUGAUACGAGGAUACACUUACGUGCAACGUUACAUUUACUUUUCAACCUAGUUAUAAACUAAUUACGCUACUUACGGCCUACAUACUUGGGUUAGAAUUCGCCACUAUUGUAUUGAAUUUUAAAGCUAUUCGAAUUCUAAAUCUUAGUUAAAGGAGCAUUUCCAUCCAGUGUAAAUUACACGUUAACAGAUUAUAAGUGAAUAGAACCAUCAGGGAUAAAAGAAACACUAAACGUAGGUUGUCGAUGGAUUAUAAUCAACACCCA